AGUGCAUGGCUGUUACAUCCUCCUGUGCAACCCCUAAGCCCCCCAGGCUGCACCCAGCAUUGCCACCAACCAGCCCCUCAGCCUGGAGCUGGACCUGGCUGCUCACAUCAGCUUAGCUGGAGCUGCAUGCCCUCAGGAGUGGCUGGAUCUGGAAUGUGCUCAUGCUGAAGACCAGUUCAUCUGCUCUGAACACACAGGUGACACGUGGAGGGAGACCAAUGCUUUGACAGGCAGGCCCUGAGGGUUUGGGAUCACCAUUUUAUUCCAUCUGUAAGCUGGUGCAAUUGCAGUACUGACCUCCUUCUCCCUCUGUCACACACGGCAAAGCAGAUUAGAAGGAGAAAAGAAAAUCCCUUAGUUUUCUUAUUUCUUUCUGCAGGGCAGCUCUGACCUUUGUGGCACACCUGGCCAUGGCUGUGCCUGGGAAGGUUCAUCCUUCCCAGCUGGAGCUGGUCCCAGCACAGAGAACAAAUUGCUCAGCAAGGCUGGACACAGCAACAGCGCAGGUGAGGGGCACUAGCAGAAUUAGCAAGGCUAUAAACGAGGAAAGGGGGGCCUUGGGAAGACCCUGCAGGGAGAGGUCUCUGUGCUCUGAAGGUGACUGGCUGGGGGCUGCACUCAGAGGAAGGUCAGCGAUGGAUGGGGAAUGACAACUGACAUUGCUGUGAGGCCCUCAAUGUGCAUGCCACUUAACUUGAAUAUGGCACUGGAUUCUCAGGACUUGGUUCUCGGAAAUGCCUCUCAAACCCAGCUUGGACAUCUCCCCUUGAUGGGAAAAUCAGCCUGUCAUACCUGACAUGUGUUAAGCUCUGUAGAAUAAAGGAAGACUCUUCCCAGGAGUGAGUGGCUCUUCCAACUCAGGGCUACACUUGCUGCAGCACAUUUAAACGUCUAACAGGCAGCAGGUUACAAAUGCUGCUCAUGAUCUCAGUCUUGCUUCAUCCUUUGCUGGAAGUCUGCAACUGUUACUUUGAAAAUGCUGCUGCAAUGUUUAGAAAGGAGGAGAGUUGUACUCGCUGGGCUCCUUCUAAGCAAUCAUGCUUUGCAAGGCUCGGGUUAAAGGCAUGAGGUUUGGUUGAGCAGAUGGGUGAUGCAGCUGAACUCCCCAGUGAAGAGCUUCACUCCUAAGGACUCUUCUUGCCAUUCUUUCAGGUGAGAGCGAGUUCAGAUGGGAUUGCCCUCUGCUUUUGUCAUUUUCCCUUCUUCACUUGUCUUUGCCUUUUCGAUUGCGCAUCUCACUUUUAUUUGAAUUUCAUUCCUCACUAUUUGUCAUGACACAGGCCAAGAGGAGUUCAAGCUCUGAACUGGACCAGCCAAAAGGCUGUCAGUGGUGCUGGUAUCAAGCAGUGCUUAUCUGUCUCUUGUAUUUGAACAAACUAAGUUUCAGCCUGAAAUAUCGCAGACAUCCAAGUCCCUGAGGCAUGGAAAAGCUGCACUAUGAAUACACUGAUGAUAAUAGUCCUGGCUCUGCGGGUUUUAUUGCAUUUGUUAUUUUCUAACAUUCUGGAAAACAUAGCAUUAAAAUGAACAGGGUAAACACAGACAAAUGGAAGAAGAUGUUGGAGCGGGAUAGGAGACGACUCUUUGUGCUCAAGACUCUGUUGUCCCCUACAUCAGGGUCACUGGAGCAGUCUGACACAUGUUUAGGGUUUUGGGGGUUGGCAGUUGGCAUUGAAUAGUCAUCUUAGGGGCUAUCUCAAGACUGGUGUCUGAGGGCAGAGAUCCAUGUUCUAGGAAUGGCUCUUAAGGGGUAGGAAUAAGGCAAAGAAAUUGCUUUCUGGGCCUUGGCAGAGGUCAGCUUGCUGUGAUUUCUUGAAAUACCAGAUAAAGGAUGUGAAUGCUACUCAGCCCUAAUAGCUG
This is a long non-coding RNA of Passer domesticus (house sparrow), 1860 nucleotides long. RefSeq lists it as uncharacterized. The record is from RefSeq and is a predicted model, not a curated record. The transcript has 3 exons. NCBI's taxonomy places the organism in Eukaryota, Metazoa, Chordata, Aves, Passeriformes, Passeridae.